AUGCAGUGGGCUCGGCCUUCGUCGACGGCUGUGGGGUCCCGUUCCUCCCUCGACCAUCGGCGGCAGCGCGGGACGCAGCGGGCUCGGCCUUCGUCGUCGGCGGCGGGGUCCCUUUCCUCCCUCGACCAUCGGCGGCAGCGCAGGACACAACGGGCGGCCAGGGACGCGGCGCUGGGUGCGGGGCGUGGUUGCAUGGUGGAGGGCGCGUGCAUGAAGGCGACGCGUUCCGUACUACUGUCAUCAUGCUCCCUGAUACGAGCUCCUCCUUCCUCCCGCUGGACAUGCCCAGCACCAUCCCAUGCCCUCAGCCCGCUGGCCAGAGAAAGGAGCUUGAUUUAA
RNAcentral lists this ribosomal RNA (339 nucleotides) under Triticum aestivum (bread wheat). RNAcentral describes it as "partial small subunit ribosomal RNA". The record is from RNAcentral. Lineage: Eukaryota; Viridiplantae; Streptophyta; Magnoliopsida; Poales; Poaceae.